GGCUGUGCUCUGUGAAAGAGCGUCUGCUUGGCAUGUAGAAGGUUCUGGGUUCAAUCCCCGGCAUCUCCA
Molecule: transfer RNA, 69 nt
Filed under: Sphaerodactylus townsendi
Lineage: Eukaryota; Metazoa; Chordata; Lepidosauria; Squamata; Sphaerodactylidae
Description: tRNA-Ala
Rfam family: tRNA
About the family: Transfer RNA (tRNA) molecules are approximately 80 nucleotides in length. Their secondary structure includes four short double-helical elements and three loops (D, anti-codon, and T loops).
Source: RNAcentral